CAGUAGUGGGGAAUAUUGCACAAUGGGCGCAAGCCUGGAGCAGCCAUGCCGNGUGUGUGAAGAAGGCCUUCGGGUUGUAAAGCACUUUCAGUCAGGAGGAAAGGUUAGUAGUUAAUACCUGCUAGCUGUGACGUUAGUGACCCUAGAAG
This 149-nucleotide ribosomal RNA is filed under the name uncultured bacterium. RNAcentral describes it as "partial 16S ribosomal RNA". It matches the Rfam family "Bacterial small subunit ribosomal RNA", at positions 349 to 490 of the family's 1533-position model. The record is from RNAcentral.